This 241-nucleotide RNase P RNA is filed under the name Escherichia coli. RNAcentral describes it as "partial RNase P RNA component class A". It matches the Rfam family "Bacterial RNase P class A", at positions 121 to 367 of the family's 367-position model. From Rfam's summary of the family: Ribonuclease P (RNase P) is a ubiquitous endoribonuclease, found in archaea, bacteria and eukarya as well as chloroplasts and mitochondria. Its best characterised activity is the generation of mature 5'-ends of tRNAs by cleaving the 5'-leader elements of precursor-tRNAs. Cellular RNase Ps are ribonucleoproteins. The record is from RNAcentral. Lineage: Bacteria; Pseudomonadati; Pseudomonadota; Gammaproteobacteria; Enterobacterales; Enterobacteriaceae.
GCAAACCGCCGAUGGCCCGCGUAAGCGGGAUCAGGUAAGGGUGAAAGGGUGCGGUAAGAGCGCACCGCGCGGCUGGUAACAGUCCGUGGCACGGUAAACUCCACCCGGAGCAAGGCCAAAUAGGGGUUCAUAAGGUACGGCCCGUACUGAACCCGGGUAGGCUGCUUGAGCCAGUGAGCGAUUGCUGGCCUAGAUGAAUGACUGUCCACGACAGAACCCGGCUUAUCGGUCAGUUUCACCU